This 201-nucleotide long non-coding RNA is filed under the name Parus major (Great Tit). RNAcentral describes it as "lncRNA (ENSPMJG00000008623.1)". The record is from RNAcentral. Lineage: Eukaryota; Metazoa; Chordata; Aves; Passeriformes; Paridae.
CUUAACCUCAGACCUAGGCUGAGCCAGCCCUGAACUCUGUGAGGUUCCACUGUCACUGGUGACCAUCAGCAGCCUCUGAAAACCCACACUCCUGUGUCUACCAGCCCCUGGCUACCCUGACACGUUCUGAGCUGCAGAAAUCCUGCUCGAGGUGGAGAAACUGCAGCAGCAGAAGGAGCCUUUACAGCAAAUAGUCUGUUU